This 460-nucleotide ribosomal RNA is filed under the name uncultured bacterium. RNAcentral describes it as "bacterial SSU rRNA". It matches the Rfam family "Bacterial small subunit ribosomal RNA", at positions 337 to 794 of the family's 1533-position model. The record is from RNAcentral.
ACCUACGGGAGGCAGCAGUAAGGAAUAUUGGUCAAUGGACGCAAGUCUGAACCAGCCAUGCCGCGUGAAGGAUGAAGGUCCUCUGGAUUGUAAACUUCUUUUAUUUGGGACGAAAAAAGGGUUUUUUAACUCACUUGACGGUACCAGAUGAAUAAGCACCGGCUAACUCCGUGCCAGCAGCCGCGGUAAUACGGAGGGUGCAAGCGUUAUCCGGAUUCACUGGGUUUAAAGGGUGCGUAGGCGGGUAUGUAAGUCAGCGGUGAAAUCCCCGAGCUUAACUUGGGAACUGCCGUUGAUACUAUAUAUCUUGAAUGUUGUGGAGGUUAGCGGAAUAUGUCAUGUAGCGGUGAAAUGCUUAGAUAUGACAUAGAACACCCAUUGCGAAGGCAGCUAACUACGCAAAUAUUGACGCUGAGGCACGAAAGCGUGGGGAUCAAACAGGAUUAGAUACCCUGGUAGU